GAUGAAGAACGCAGUGAAAUGCGAUAAGUAAUGUGAAUUGCAGAAUUCAGUGAAUCAUCGAAUCUUUGAACGCAUCUUGCGCUCCUUGGUAUUCUGAGGAGCAUGCCUGUUUGAGUGUCAUUAAAUUCUCAACUACACUGACUUUGAAUUGGUGUGGCUUGGAUUUGGGGGGAAAAUUGUUGUGGGCUUUUUGUAUAGUCUGCUCCCCUGAAAUUGAUUAGCGGUACCUUUGUGGAACUGUCUACAGGUGUGAUAAUUAUCUACAUCUUAGACAUCUGCUGGAAUGCUGCUUUCUCAACCUUACUUGUAUUGACAAUCUUGACCUCAAAUCAGGUAGGACUACCCGCUGAACUUAAGCAUAUCAAUAAGCGGAGGA
RNAcentral lists this unclassified non-coding RNA (376 nucleotides) under soil metagenome. RNAcentral's name for it is "partial contains 5.8S ribosomal RNA, internal transcribed spacer 2, and large subunit ribosomal RNA". The stretch from base 1 to 120 matches the Rfam family "5.8S ribosomal RNA", at positions 35 to 154 of the family's 154-position model. The record is from RNAcentral.